ACGCUCGACACCUACGGAGGCAGCAGUGGGGAAUAUUGCACAAUGGAGGAAACUCUGAUGCAGCGAUGCCGCGUGAGGGAAGAAGGUUUUCGGAUUGUAAACCUCUGUCUUUGGGGACGAUAAUGACGGUACCCAAGGAGGAAGCUCCGGCUAACUACGUGGCAGCAGACGCGGUAAUCUGAGGCGGGCUGGCAAGGC
RNAcentral lists this ribosomal RNA (198 nucleotides) under uncultured bacterium. RNAcentral describes it as "partial 16S ribosomal RNA". It matches the Rfam family "Bacterial small subunit ribosomal RNA", at positions 328 to 539 of the family's 1533-position model. The record is from RNAcentral.